CUGCAGCCCAACCUGAGUGGAGCUCUUUUUUAUUGGUAACUGAGCGAAGUCGAAUGCACCGAUAAAAAAAGCGGGAACGGAGGGUGGAAAAAGC
Molecule: unclassified non-coding RNA, 94 nt
Filed under: Kaistella jeonii
Lineage: Bacteria; Pseudomonadati; Bacteroidota; Flavobacteriia; Flavobacteriales; Weeksellaceae
Description: Chryseobacterium jeonii Flavo-1 RNA
Source: RNAcentral